GCGGUUGUGAUGGAAUUGGUAGACAUGAUGGUCUUAGAAGCCCUUGCCUAGAGCAUGUGAGUUCGAGUCUCACCUUCCGUA
This 81-nucleotide transfer RNA is filed under the name Bacillus phage vB_BanS-Thrax1. It matches the Rfam family "tRNA". From Rfam's summary of the family: Transfer RNA (tRNA) molecules are approximately 80 nucleotides in length. Their secondary structure includes four short double-helical elements and three loops (D, anti-codon, and T loops). Further hydrogen bonds mediate the characteristic L-shaped molecular structure. tRNAs have two regions of fundamental functional importance: the anti-codon, which is responsible for specific mRNA codon recognition, and the 3' end, to which the tRNAs corresponding amino acid is attached (by aminoacyl-tRNA synthetases). tRNAs cope with the degeneracy of the genetic code in two manners: having more than one tRNA (with a specific anti-codon) for a particular amino acid; and 'wobble' base-pairing, i.e. permitting non-standard base-pairing at the 3rd anti-codon position. The record is from Rfam by way of RNAcentral. Lineage: Duplodnaviria; Heunggongvirae; Uroviricota; Caudoviricetes.